Molecule: ribosomal RNA, 877 nt
Filed under: Leptosphaeria sydowii
Lineage: Eukaryota; Fungi; Ascomycota; Dothideomycetes; Pleosporales; Leptosphaeriaceae
Description: partial large subunit ribosomal RNA
Rfam family: Eukaryotic large subunit ribosomal RNA
Source: RNAcentral
CCAACAGGGAUUGCCCUAGUAACGGCGAGUGAAGCGGCAACAGCUCAAAUUUGAAAUCUGGCUCUUUUAGGGUCCGAGUUGUAAUUUGCAGAGGGCGCUUUGGCGUUGGCAGCGGUCCAAGUUCCUUGGAACAGGACGUCACAGAGGGUGAGAAUCCCGUACGUGGUCGCUGGCCUUCGCCGUGUAAAGCCUCUUCGACGAGUCGAGUUGUUUGGGAAUGCAGCUCUAAAUGGGAGGUAAAUUUCUUCUAAAGCUAAAUACUGGCCAGAGACCGAUAGCGCACAAGUAGAGUGAUCGAAAGAUGAAAAGCACUUUGGAAAGAGAGUCAAAUAGCACGUGAAAUUGUUAAAAGGGAAGCGCUUGCAGCCAGACUUGCCCGUAGUUGCUCAUCCAGGCUUUUGCCUGGUGCAUUCUUCUAUGGGCAGGCCAGCAUCAGUUUGGGCGGUUGGAUAAAGGUCUCUGUCAUGUACCUCCUUUCGGGGAGGCCUUAUAGGGGAGACGACAUGCAACCAGCCUGGACUGAGGUCCGCGCAUUCGCUAGGAUGCUGGCGUAAUGGCUGUAAGCGGCCCGUCUUGAAACACGGACCAAGGAGUCUAACAUCUAUGCGAGUGUUUGGGUGUCAAGCCCGAACGCGCAAUGAAAGUGAACGGAGGUGGGAACCCUUAAGGGUGCACCAUCGACCGAUCCUGAUGUCUUCGGAAGGAUUUGAGUAAGAGCAUAGCUGUUGGGACCCGAAAGAUGGUGAACUAUGCUUGAAUAGGGUGAAGCCAGAGGAAACUCUGGUGGAGGCUCGCAGCGGUUCUGACGUGCAAAUCGAUCGUCAAAUUUGGGCAUAGGGGCGAAAGACUAAUCGAACUAUCUAGUAGUGGUCCUGCG